CUUGGGCUCACUUUGUAGCCCAGGCUGCUCUUGAAUUUACAGUGAUCCUCCUGCCUCAGCCUCCUGAGUGCUGGGAU
Molecule: microRNA precursor, 77 nt
Filed under: Cavia porcellus (domestic guinea pig)
Lineage: Eukaryota; Metazoa; Chordata; Mammalia; Rodentia; Caviidae
Description: miRNA (ENSCPOG00000038357.1)
Source: RNAcentral